This 837-nucleotide ribosomal RNA is filed under the name uncultured bacterium. RNAcentral describes it as "bacterial SSU rRNA". It matches the Rfam family "Bacterial small subunit ribosomal RNA", at positions 9 to 850 of the family's 1533-position model. The record is from RNAcentral.
GAGUUUGAUCCUGGCUCAGAACGAACGUUGGCGGCGUGGAUUAGGCAUGCAAGUCGAACGAAUCCCUGGAGGCUUGCUUUCAGGGGGAAGUGGCGAAAGGGGCAGUAAGGCGUGGGUAACCUACCUCGGGGACGGGGAUAGCCUUCCUAACGGGAGGGCAAUACCCGGCGAUAUCCGGUAGUCGCAUGGCAUCCGGAUGAGAUGAAUUUCGCCUCGGGAGGGGCUCACGUGGUAUUAGCUAGUUGGUGGGGUAACGGCCCACCAAGGCGAAGAUGCCUAGCGGGUGUGAGAGCACGACCCGCGCCACUGGCACUGAGACACUGGCCAGACUCCUACGGGAGGCUGCAGUCGAGGAUCUUCGGCAAUGGGCGCAAGCCUGACCGAGCGACGCCGCGUGUGCGAUGAAGGCCUUCGGGUUGUAAAGCACUGUCGAGGGGGAGGAAAGCCCGCAAGGGUCUGACCUAUCCCUGGAGGAAGCACGGGCUAAGUUCGUGCCAGCAGCCGCGGUAAGACGAACCGUGCAAACGUUGUUCGGAAUCACUGGGCUUAAAGGGCGCGUAGGCGGGCAAGCAAGUCCGGGGUGAAAUCCUCCAGCUUAACUGGAGAAGUGCCUCGGAUACUGCUGGUCUUGAGCGAGAUAGGGGAUGCUGGAACUUCCGGUGGAGCGGUGAAAUGCGUUGAUAUCGGAAGGAACGCCGGUGGCGAAAGCGAGCAUCUGGACCUCUUCUGACGCUGAGGCGCGAAAGCCAGGGGAGCGAACGGGAUUAGAUACCCCGGUAGUCCUGGCCCUAAACGAUGGGUACUAGGUAGAGGACUUGACAUGGGUUCUCUGCCGAA